Long non-coding RNA from Humulus lupulus (European hop), 711 nucleotides. RefSeq lists it as uncharacterized. Lineage: Eukaryota; Viridiplantae; Streptophyta; Magnoliopsida; Rosales; Cannabaceae. The transcript is spliced from 2 exons. The record is from RefSeq and is a predicted model, not a curated record.
CUCUCCCUAACACUGAGCCCGCCUCUUCUCUGAACCUAAACUCAACGUCGAGUUCAGAUGUCUCAUCUCUGAGCUUGAAAUUGAUGUGUUUAAUAAGAAGUUGAGGAAUAUUAUAAAGAAAGAGGAGCCUAAGGUUGUGACUGUGGAGGAUGAGAAGUACAGGUUGGGUUAUGGCCUUGCUGGGAAAGGAGUAAAGUUGCCUUGGUAUCUUGAGAAACCAAGUGAGAAUGUGAGUAGUGAGGGAGCAAGGGACUGUAAUGGGUUUUCUUCUGAUGAAGAAGAAGAGGGGAAGAAGAAGGGAAAAAAGAUUUUGCAAGAGUUGAGGGAAGAACGACUUAGAAGAGAAAAGCGGGAGAAGGAAAGAGAACGUGCUUUGGUGAUGGAGAAAAGCCAUAGGGGUAUUAGAGAUGGAGCUAAUCCCAGGCAUAGAAACUUCUCUUCAACCAAGUAAUGACAGAGAUAGAGGUAGGGACAGAGACAAAUACAAUCCCAGCCCCAAGCAUAGAAAGUUUUCCAGGAGGUGAGUUUAUUUAUGACACUGUCUUUGCUUUAAUAUAUUUUCAUUGAUUAGUAUCCUCUCAUUGAGCUAUGUAUCUUUAUUCUCUGAAUUUGUAGUUUUGUAAGUGAGAUUCUCUAACAAUACUUGUAUGUAGAGAUUUGUAAGUGUAUUUUAUUAACAUAAAUAAGACAACCCUCAAAUUUUAGAUCCUC